AUAGCUGGCCAGAACUGCGCAGUCCUCUCUCGGGCGUGUCAGAGUUAGUGGCCUGGGUGAGCACAGGCCCCAUCAUCCUUAGAAAGCUCUGGAUGGUUUUUCUAGUGUGAACCCAGAAUUCAGCACCACUGCCCUUGAUAAAGCCCAGGUAAGCCUCACACUGAAGACCACAGCUAAUGUGGAAGGCAGAGUGCUAAUGCUCUUUUCUAAUUGGCAACCCCUAGUCUUUAGCCCUUAUCUGGGCCUCUCCCUUCUCUAGGCCUUACCUGCUCUGUCUUCUAUGCCCUCUGGGAUCCUUUUUUUUUUUUUUUCUGGACAACAGUUGACUAAUGUGACACUGAUACAUACUAAUGGAUGCUGCUUGUCUCCUGUAAGGUUCAUUCUUUCCACUUAACACUUCUAGAAAAAAAACAACAACAUUUGGUCAUCUAUGGAUUUAUGUAUUAGAUAGGAAAAGAAAGUGUGAGUAGGCAGACUCCACCUACCCCAGGGCUUGGCCCUGCUUUCUCCUUCAGGCAAGGCCCUGCGUGAGCAAGACCGUUGGGGUGAGAUGUGUGCAGGGACUGAGCGUCUUCCCUUCUCAGGCUCAGCCUGGAGCCAGCUUUGUUUGGUUGUCAGGCACAGUUACCUUUCCUGUGGAGCUGGGAAGACCUCACUUCCUUGUCUUGCUACAGGUUGCAGACAUUCUUUUUGCAGCUGCUGCUAGCUCCCUCAGUCUCGAGAGCAAAGGUUAAUCCCAUUUUGCCAGGAGUGACCUGAAGUGUGUCCACUCAACCACCAAGAAGACACCACGUACCACUCUGCAUGCCACCUCUUUCUUGUCUAUAACAGCGUGCCUCUAAGUUUCCCUGGAAUAGCCUGUAGGGUGUUUCCAUUCUCUUUCCAGAGAGAUACAGUGUGCCUUAGUAGGCCAUUUAGAAGAGAAUCUUAGAAACUUUCCAGAUCCUGCCUGGUCCCAUUUUCUUGGGCUUCUAUAUUUGCAACGUCACGCUUGUGAUGACUGGUAUUCAACAAUGAGUGUCUCUGUGUGUGCAUGUGGUACCGAGAUUAAAGGUGUGGCAACACCUUUGCUUCAGUUUUAUCCUUCUGAGGGCUUACUUACACAGUCCUGUCUAUGUAGCCAUCAUGGAGACUCAAUUGUGUCCAGCAGAGGGCGCCCUUUCACUUAAAAUCGCAGAGUUCCUUUUCCUCCAGGAACUUAGUUGAUUUGGUGGUUGCUGUAUUCCCAGCAUGUGUUGAAAUAUCCAAGCUGAGUGCUUUGAGAUGUGUCCUUAUAUUGCCUCGUGCAUUUCUACAGAUGCAGAUGUUUACUGUGUAGAUGAAUUGCCCACUACACCUCCGAUUCGAUUCCCUAGUUGGUAGGCAAUCUUGUAAGUUGCUACUUCUCUGUUAGUUUCAAUUAUAUUUGUUAUGUCCUUGAUUGUAUUUGUAGGUAAUAAAAGACAGUGUUCU
RNAcentral lists this long non-coding RNA (1452 nucleotides) under Mus musculus (house mouse). RNAcentral's name for it is "long non-coding RNA chr9:50848285-50849737". Lineage: Eukaryota; Metazoa; Chordata; Mammalia; Rodentia; Muridae. The record is from RNAcentral.